This is a non-coding RNA of Vicugna pacos (alpaca), 142 nucleotides long. NCBI's taxonomy places the organism in Eukaryota, Metazoa, Chordata, Mammalia, Artiodactyla, Camelidae. The record is from RefSeq and is a predicted model, not a curated record.
AACUUAGCAGCUCUCAGCCUCUUUCUGACUCUGACCCUCCUGCCUCCCCUCUUCACUUAUAAGGACCCGUGGGGUUACACUGAGCCCACCCUGAUAAUCCAGGACAGUCUCCUCUCUCAAAUCAAGACAUAGGAAGAGCACA